This 726-nucleotide long non-coding RNA is filed under the name Equus caballus (horse). RNAcentral describes it as "lncRNA (ENSECAG00000051603.1)". The record is from RNAcentral. Lineage: Eukaryota; Metazoa; Chordata; Mammalia; Perissodactyla; Equidae.
CAGAAAAGCAAAUGAUAACGGCAGGAAAUAUCUUGGAAAUAUUCAGAGAGUUGAGGGGAAUGAUGUCAUAAUGCACUUGAAGAAGAAGAGGAAGAAAACAGAAGCAGGAGAAAGAUAAGAGUAGACAGGGAUGAAACGUCAAUGUACCAGAUCUUUGGUAGGUCAAAUAUGAGUGACAAACUCUACGUGCUGAAUGAAGACUAGAUCAAGAUCAUUAGAGUGGAAGAUGCAAAAGAUUGAACCUAGGUUCAAUUGCUGGCUCUGGAGAUAGAAGCAUACAAAGACUACAAAAGAUGACCCAAAAUUUUAACAUGUUUUAGAAGUCCUAGAUUUGUAUUAUUCCUAGGAUUAGCGGAGACCAUUAGUUGCUUUCGACUGGUUUCAUGCACAGUAAAACAAAAGAAUCAGAGAAGGAGGAAAAGAAAGUGGAGGAAGAAGAGGAACAGCAGGCUUCAGCAUGGAUAGACUAAAAAUUGCAUAUGUGUGAGUCCAGAUUUCUGUUUUGCAAUUCUAUGACACGGGGAAAGCUAUUUAAUCUGAGUCAGGUCCUUUAUAUAUAACAUGGGCAUAAGACUACCUAACAUUAAGCUAUGUAGAUAAAAAUGAGAUGGUGACUGUAAGCCAUCUGGCACAUAAGUAAGUUUUCAAUAUAUUUUAAUCCCCUUUGUUCAACUCUACCCCUGCCCAAGGUCCUUCCAUAACCCUCAAAGCACAGUGAGGCAGGAC